GAUGAAGAACGCAGCGAAAUGCGAUAAGUAGUGUGAAUUGCAGAAUUCCGUGAAUCAUCGAAUCUUUGAACGCACAUUGCGCCUUCUGGUAUUCCGGAAGGCAUGCCUGUUCGAGAGUCAUUAACAACCGUUUCGAUCCCUUUCUUUCAGAAAUUACAAAGAGGAAAAGGGUUUGGUUAUGGUGGAGGUGGGAAAGGGAGCGUUUAGCCUGUAAAAAAAGAGGCUGUGUUCCGCCUCCCCCCCAAAAUUGUACAGGCGGUCGUGUGCGCCCACGCAUCGAGGUGUUGUAAAAGCUGCCACGGCACUUUUCACCUGUGCAGUGCGAGAUUGGCCAGCCGGUUUAAAAACCCCUCCAAACAAUCAAAGGUUGACCUCGGAUCAGGUAGGGAUACCCGCUGAACUUAAGCAUAUCAAUAAGCGGAGGA
This 425-nucleotide unclassified non-coding RNA is filed under the name soil metagenome. RNAcentral's name for it is "partial contains 5.8S ribosomal RNA, internal transcribed spacer 2, and large subunit ribosomal RNA". The stretch from base 1 to 120 matches the Rfam family "5.8S ribosomal RNA", at positions 35 to 154 of the family's 154-position model. The record is from RNAcentral.